This is a ribosomal RNA of Cricetulus griseus (Chinese hamster), 120 nucleotides long. Lineage: Eukaryota; Metazoa; Chordata; Mammalia; Rodentia; Cricetidae. The record is from Ensembl.
GUUUUUGGCGAUACCACAUUGUAUGCAGCCAGUCUUGUCUGAUCUUGGAAGCUAAGCAGGGUUGGGCCUGGCUAGUACUUGGAAUGGGAGACCUCCUGGGAAUACCAGGUGCUGUAAGCC